Molecule: ribosomal RNA, 468 nt
Filed under: uncultured bacterium
Lineage: Bacteria
Description: partial 16S ribosomal RNA
Rfam family: Bacterial small subunit ribosomal RNA
Source: RNAcentral
GACGAACGCUGGCGGCGUGCUUAACACAUGCAAGUCGAACGGAAAGGCCCUGCUUUUGUGGGGUGCUCGAGUGGCGAACGGGUGAGUAACACGUGAGUAACCUGCCCUUGACUUUGGGAUAACUUCAGGAAACUGGGGCUAAUACCGGAUAGGAGCUCCUGCUGCAUGGUGGGGGUUGGAAAGUUUCGGCGGUUGGGGAUGGACUCGCGGCUUAUCAGCUUGUUGGUGGGGUAGUGGCUUACCAAGGCUUUGACGGGUAGCCGGCCUGAGAGGGUGACCGGCCACAUUGGGACUGAGAUACGGCACAGACUCCUACGGGAGGCAGCAGUGGAGAGUAUUGCACAAUGGGCGGAAGCCUGAUGCAGCAACGCCGCGUGCGGGAUGACGGCCUUCGGGUUGUAAACCGCUUUCGCCUGUGACGAAGCGUGAGUGACGGUAAUGGGUAAAGAAGCACCGGCUAACUACGUG